This 484-nucleotide ribosomal RNA is filed under the name uncultured bacterium. RNAcentral describes it as "partial 16S ribosomal RNA". It matches the Rfam family "Bacterial small subunit ribosomal RNA", at positions 30 to 507 of the family's 1533-position model. The record is from RNAcentral.
AUUGAACGCUGGCGGCAGGCCUAACACAUGCAAGUCGAGCGGAUGAAGGGAGCUUGCUCCUGGAUUCGGCGGCGGACGGGUGAGUAAUGCCUAGGAAUCUGCCUGGUAGUGGGGGAUAACGUCCGGAAACGGGCGCUAAUACCGCAUACGUCCUGAGGGAGAAAGUGGGGGAUCUUCGGACCUCACGCUAUCAGAUGAGCCUAGGUCGGAUUAGCUAGUUGGUGGGGUAAAGGCCUACCAAGGCGACGAUCCGUAACUGGUCUGAGAGGAUGAUCAGUCACACUGGAACUGAGACACGGUCCAGACUCCUACGGGAGGCAGCAGUGGGGAAUAUUGGACGAUGGGCGAAAGCCUGAUCCAGCCAUGCCGCGUGUGUGAAGAAGGUCUUCGGAUUGUAAAGCACUUUAAGUUGGGAGGAAGGGCAGUAAGUUAAUACCUUGCUGUUUUGACGUUACCAACAGAAUAAGCACCGGCUAACUUCGUG